RNAcentral lists this ribosomal RNA (36 nucleotides) under Ditylum brightwellii. RNAcentral describes it as "partial 5.8S ribosomal RNA". The record is from RNAcentral. Lineage: Eukaryota; Bacillariophyta; Thalassiosirophyceae; Lithodesmiales; Lithodesmiaceae.
GUACAACUUUUCAGCAAUGGAUGUCUAGGCUCCCAC